Ictidomys tridecemlineatus (thirteen-lined ground squirrel) is the source of this 69-nucleotide non-coding RNA. The record is from Rfam. NCBI's taxonomy places the organism in Eukaryota, Metazoa, Chordata, Mammalia, Rodentia, Sciuridae.
GGGGUUGUGGCUCAGAGGUAGAGUGCUUGCCUACUAUGCAUGAGACACUGGGUUCAAUCCUCAGCACCA